UUCAAAAACAUCUAAGAAAAUUGAAUUUUGUACUUUUAUGGUUAAUUGUGUAGCUUAUAUUUAUAAAUGUUAUUAAUUAAAAGUUAGUUCAACUAAAAAUCAAAACGACGACGUAAAGAUUAGCCAAUUGGUGAUGGGAAAAGACGGCAUCAGAGAUGUGGCAAGCCGGAACUUCUGUGGGCGGUUCCUACGUGAGGAGCCAAAGUUGGGCUGCCAACAAGAAACUAACAAAAAAAAAAAGACGAGAGAAAGGGAGAGAGACAUUAGAAGACCAUGGCCAACCAAUCGGAAGAAAGUCGGAAAUCCAUACAAAUCAAAAGAGACGAGUGCAUAAGGGGGAGAGAGAGAGAGAGAGAGAGAUAGAUGGAUGGAGGGGUGUGCCAGGUGGGCAUGGAUGAAGACGGCGGCUAACCGGACGGAAGCGGAAACGUUGUUGUCAUCAAUCAUCACAAGUCGCGCGCGCUCUCUCAUAGGCCGUCGACGUCGUCGCACAGCACACGCACACAGGAUAAUGCACUGGACCCAAGGACUACUACUAUUUUGGCUACUCUUUCAGCCAGCUUCUCAUGGUUUGGCACUUUACACUGCUUUCCGUCUGAGAUGAUGGAGAAUAUUUGGUUACACUUCACUCACACUUGAUAAAUACCCUAAAAAGGCAACAAAAAAGAGUCAUUGAAUAUAAAAGUAUAUAUAUUCUUGUUGUCUUAUUACCUUAAGAGACCUCUGUGGGUUGGUCAUCAAUUUAUGGAGGGCAAAAAAUAUGAAGUCAAAGAUUAUUUCA
This is a long non-coding RNA of Drosophila willistoni, 781 nucleotides long. RefSeq lists it as uncharacterized. NCBI's taxonomy places the organism in Eukaryota, Metazoa, Arthropoda, Insecta, Diptera, Drosophilidae. The record is from RefSeq and is a predicted model, not a curated record. The transcript is spliced from 3 exons.